GGAUCAGAAUCACAAAUUAAAGGCUGGGUGGGAAUUCUGCUUCCUGAGGUGUUUGGAAACGCUUUGGAAUUUGGAAUGUGGGAUGUGGGGUUUGGAAUGUGGGAUGUGGGGUUUGGAAUGUGGGAUGUUGGAUUUGGGAUGUGGGAUUUAGGGUGUGGGAUUUGGAAUGUGGGAUGUGGAAUUUGGAAAUGUGUAAAAAUGUGAGAUUUGGAAUGUGGGAUGAGGGAUUUGGAAUGCAAGGUUUGGGGUUUAGAAUGUGGGAUGUGGGGUUUGGAAUGUGUGGAAAUGUGGGAUUUGGAACGAGUGACAAUGUGGGAUGUGGGAUUUGGGAUGUGGGAUGUGGGAUUUGGGAUGUGGGAUGUGGGAAUUGGGAUGUGGGAGCAUCCCCCUGCCUGGAGCUGCCCCAGUCACAGCUCCAUGGCGCUCCAGGCUGGAUUUCUGGGAUCAUGGAGGGAUUAUCCCGCUCUGCUCCUCCCUGGAACCGUCAGGCCUGGCCGUGUAAUGAGCUUGCAAAUCCACAGAGAAAAAAACCUGGACAAAUCCAAGGCUGCUCCAGCAUCCCUCCUGUUGGGUUUUCCGUGCUGGAAAAGGGAAUUUUCAUCCCUUCCUCCCCUCUCUGUCAGCUCCAGCUCCUGGCAAACAGCGCUGGGAUCCUCCCAUCCCAUUUUCCACACCCCUGUAAUGUCCAAGGACUGGGAUAGUGGGAAUUGUCCCAGCCCACAGCUGAGGCUGGAAUGAGAAGAUUUUAAAUUCCAUCCCGACCCAAUCCUGUCUGGAAUUCUGUGAUUCCACAAUUUUACCAUUGCCAAGCUCCCAAGAUUCCCAAAAUCCCUUUUUCCAUAGGCACAGUUGGGUGGGGAAUUGACAUUUCUUCUCCUAAAAACCCCAAAAUAACUAAAAAAUCCUAAAUAAAUAAAGCAAUUCCAGCCCCUCACUCUUCCUGUGCCCAACAUUUCCAGCACUGCAUGAUUGUCUUGGGAGAAAAAAAUUCCAAUCCCCAUCAAGGGAGGGGCUGGAAUUUGAAACCUGAAAUUCUUGCACAUAAAAAUUCCCAAAAUCCCAUCAAAAAAUGGGAAUGUGGCAGCUCCUUGGGAAUGUUUCCCUGUUUGUUGUCUCCUGCAGGAAAGAAAAGGCCAAAAUCGUUGAAUUCCAACCCAAAUCUUGGCAUUCCUGCAGCUGAAGGGUUCCCGUUUUUCCUCCCCACCAGAUAUUGGGAUUUUUAUGGAAUCUUGGAUUUUGGGGUUGUUUCAUUCCUUGGUUUGUUCUCCUUGGUUUAUUUUGGUUUGGUUUGUUUUGUUUUCCAUUAUAGACAUCAUUAAAAAAAAUAAAUUUUCCAAGAAUACAUUUGGAAGUUGUUGUGGGAAUUGGAGGAAUUAAAAAAAAAAAGAAAAAACACAUUUUGAAAAAAAGGAAAAUAAAGGGAAAAGUGGGAAUUAAAAAGCCACAGGAUAGAUAGGGUUAUGUAUAUGGGAAUAUCCAUAUGUUAUAUGUAUAUAGGAAAUAAAGUGGGGAGGGAAAAUCAGGAAUUCCAACCCUGGAUGGGUCAAAAUCCACUCCCAAUCCACAUUCCAAAUACAAAUUUAAAAAAUUAAAAAGGAGAAUGGAACCUCUCCCCCUGGAAUGAUUGAAAACAUCAGCACAACCUCACACGUUUCACACCAGUUUCUUUUCUCUUCCAUUCGGAAAGUCCCAGAGGAAAAAUUCCCAACCAAAGUCCCCCAAAAUCCAACGGGAAGAGCUCCGGGAUUCUGCUCCAGGUGGCUCCCGACGGCGCCUUCAUCCUCAGGGAUGUUCCCACGUGGAAUCCUCGUUGUCCCUGUGACCCCGGUGCAAAAAAUCCUGAAAUUCACCUUCCCCAAAUCUUUCCUCCGACUUCUUUCCCCUCCCCGGCACCGCUGGCAGCUCCAGACCCCCAUUCCAGGCCUAUUCCAGGGAGUUUUCCUUAGAACCGCUCCGGAAAACCAACCCAGAAAAGACCAAAAAGAAAAAAACAACCCUGGGAAAAACAAAAAGUAGGAAGAAAACCACCAAAGUUUCCCAGCGUGGUGAAGAGUCCUCCUGCCUCUCCGGAGCUCGGCAUUCCCGGGGGUUGGGAGCGUUCCAGUCUCUGGCACUGGUGGGCACUGGUGGGCACUGGUGGCACUGGUGGCACUGGUCUGAGUGUCCCCAUCCCACCGGCCGCUCCUUCCCGCCCCUCUAUAGCCCCAGUGCCGGGAUCAGGAUGGGAAUGAGGAGCAGGAUCCGGCUCUCCCGGUGCCUCCCGGUGCCUCCCGCCUUGGGAUCCGUGAACGUUUUCUGCUCCGGCAUCACAUCCGUGGUCAGCUGUGCCUGGAAAGAGGGACGGGGGUGGGAGUUUAGGGAAAGGCAUCCCAAAGUUGGGAAACACCUCCAGGGUGUCCUUCCCAGCCCUGGGAUUCCUCCAAGUACCUCGGAGUAGCACAGGCUCUGCUCCUUGGAUUUGUUGGGUUUCAGGCCUUGCUCCUGGAAGGAGAAAUUGGGAGCGGUCAGGGUGGGAAUGUGCCCGUGGAGCUCGGAAUUCCCUGUGGGAAUCGGCUCAGGGAGGGUGAUGAAGCACAGGGAGGUUUGGGAAAGGCUCAGCCCAGCUCAGCUCGGGGGGUUCAGUGGGUCCGGCCUCACUCCCACCAUGAUCCUGUCGGGAAUUCUGCUGGAAAUCCUGCCUGGAGUCCUGGGACACCUCGCCUGUCCCCACCGCAUUCCUCUGCAUUCCUGGGACACCCCCAGCCAUUCCCUAAUCCCAUUCCAGGAAUAUCCCCAGCCAUUCCCCAAUCCCAUUCCCCAACCCCAUUCCCCAAUCUCAUUCCUCAAUCCCAUUUCCCUGCACUCCUGGAACAUCCCCAGCCAUUCCCCAAUCCCAUUCCCCAACCCCAUUCCCCAAUCCCAUUCCUCAAUCCCAUUUCCCUGCACUCCUGGAACAUCCCCAGCCAUUCCCCAAUCCCAUUUCCCUCCCCAGCCAUUCCCCAAUCCCAUUCCCCAAUCCCAUUUCCCUCCCAUUCCUUUUCCACCCAUGUAGAAAAAUAUGGACGCCCAAGCCCAGCACUUGUCAAGACCACACGGAUUUUCCAGAUUUCCCCAAAAAACCUGGAAUUCCAUCUCCCAAACAAGAAGAACUCAGGCUCACAAAAUCACCUCGCCAGCCGAGCGAGGAGACAGGCGGGGAACCCCUCCCUCCCCAUUCCAGACCCCAAACCGCGCCCAGAUCCUCCUGGAUGAAUCCCAGAGGACAUUUUGGGGUGCGGCCGAUGUCCCCCAGCCCCACCAGUGCUCCCAGUUUGGCGGGGCCGCACCUGGAGCGAGGUGCAGGUGCUGAUGACGCUGGCGUCGUACGCGGUGUUGCUGUCGUUGACGUCGUCCGGCAGCGCCGGGCUCUUCUCCGUCUUGGGCAGCACCGUCACGGCGGGAUUGGGAUUUUUGGGAGCCACGUUCACGUCGGUCCCGUUCCCAAAAGCUUGGAUGGCGUUUCCUGAGAGAGGGGUGGAUUUAGGAAGGGUGGGUGUUGGGAAGGAUCGGGAUUUGGCAAGAAAAUCUUACAGAUAUUUGUGUAUAACAAAAGGAUAUUUGAAUGUGGAAUCUGAAGAAGGAAUGGAAAUGAAAGGAAGUUUUGAUAUAAAAGAAAAGAAUUGCUGAGCCAGUCUUAGGGGUAAAUAAGAAGGCAAAGAGCAAGUGAGUUGGAAGGGUUUGUAUAACUCUGAGCAAAAGAUAAAUCCGCCUCAAACAAAAGAUGUUUUUACCAAGCAAAAAAAUGUUCACAAACAAACAAGAAAACCAAUAUUAGAAAUAGAAGAAAAUCUCAAAAUCUCCCACUACAAAAAAACUAAAAAACAACUUCUAACUUAAACUGUAACACACUAACCUUUUAUAAUUAGAAAGUAGUAACAUAAAUAUGAUAAUGUUGAUAGUUAAAAUAAGCUAUAAAAAAUAGUAAAAGUAUUGAUUGGUUGUUAUGUAAUAAGAUGCACAGCAAAGAAAGAAAUAUAAUAUAUAAUGAUUUGCAACAUAAAUAAAACAGAACUUCAGAACACCAGCUAUAGGCUCACCCACGACCCACAACUCUUGUAAUCUCGCCUAUAUAAUUGUCUUGGGGUGCAAUACAGGAUGUGACCAAAAGUGUCUGUUCUAUCACCAGCAGUUAAACCAGCUGUGGCAGUGAUCCUGAUCUCUGUGGGAUAUCUCCUGUUCAUGGCCAGCUGUUAAACCAGCUGGGGCAGUGUUCUUUAUCUUCCCACAGCCCAUCCUCCCUCCAGGAGAUCUCUCCUGUCCAUGGCCACUGAGUCCCAGGGCAUGGCUGAUAAAAUUACUGCAUCCCAUGGGGAGAUGCUCCAGCCAGGGGAGGAGCCAAGCAUUUCCUACCCUGAUCAAAUCUGAGAUUUGGAACAUCAGAGCAGCCUUUCCCACUGGAUCCCAGAGGAAAACCAGACCCUUCCACAUCAUCCCUGGAGCUCCAGAGGGAAACUGCACCUUGUCCAGGAGCACUGCUCCAGCUGAGCCACAUCUGUCACUGCAGGAGGAUGCAGCCACCAUGGGAUGGGACUGCUGCCAACACGCUG
RNAcentral lists this long non-coding RNA (4565 nucleotides) under Catharus ustulatus (Swainson's thrush). Its description in RNAcentral is "lncRNA (ENSCUSG00005005724.1)". The record is from RNAcentral. Lineage: Eukaryota; Metazoa; Chordata; Aves; Passeriformes; Turdidae.